This 253-nucleotide ribosomal RNA is filed under the name uncultured bacterium. Its description in RNAcentral is "partial 16S ribosomal RNA". It matches the Rfam family "Bacterial small subunit ribosomal RNA", at positions 524 to 776 of the family's 1533-position model. The record is from RNAcentral.
UACGAAGGGUGCGAGCGUUGUUCGGAUUUACUGGGCGUAAAGGGUUCGUAGGCGGGAGUGUAAGUUGAAUGUGAAAUCCCUGAGCUUAACUCAGGACGUGCAUUCAAGACUGCGUUUCUUGAGUAUCGGAGAGGGUCGUGGAAUUGCUGGUGUAGGAGUGAAAUCCGUAGAGAUCAGCAGGAACACCUGAGGCGAAGGCGACGACCUGGCCGAAUACUGACGCUGAGGAACGAAAGCGUGGGGAGCAAACAGG